UAUAAAUACUCUUUAUCCUACUAUAUUAUUUGGGAAGUACAUUUUAAAUAUAACCUUAAUUUUUGUAAGAAAUUACAUAAGUAUGCCAUUAGAAAUAAAAUUUUAAAGAGUAAAUUAAUUUAUCUCUUUAAGGAUUAAAAAAUCAAAUACUAAUUUAAUUAAUUAAAUUUAAUUAAAAAACGAAAUACAUUUUUAAUUUUCAAAAAUAAUAACCAAUCA
This 219-nucleotide small RNA is filed under the name Arabidopsis thaliana (thale cress). RNAcentral describes it as "ATSL043210". The record is from RNAcentral. Lineage: Eukaryota; Viridiplantae; Streptophyta; Magnoliopsida; Brassicales; Brassicaceae.